AAGUCGUAACAAGGUUUCCGUAGGUGAACCUGCGGAAGGAUCAUUACAGAGUUCAUGCCCUCACGGGUAGAUCUCCCACCCUUGAAUAUUAUACCUUAGUUGCUUUGGCAGGCCGGGGCAACCCCCGGGGCUUCGGCCUCGGUGCGCCUGCCAGAGGAAACAAACUCUGUUUUUAGUGAUGUCUGAGUACUAUAUAAUAGUUAAAACUUUCAACAACGGAUCUCUUGGUUCUGGCAUCGAUGAAGAACGCAGCGAAAUGCGAUAAGUAAUGUGAAUUGCAGAAUUCAGUGAAUCAUCGAAUCUUUGAACGCACAUUGCGCCCCGUGGUAUUCCGCGGGGCAUGCCUGUUCGAGCGUCAUUUCAACCCAUCAAGCUUCGGCUUGGUCUUGGGGCCUGCGAUUCCGCAGCCUCUAAACCCAGUGGCGGUGCCUCCGAGCUCUGAGCGUAGUAAUUCUUCUCGCUAUAGGGUCUCGGUGGUGUCUUGCCAGUAACCCCCAAUUUUUUACAGGUUGACCUCGGAUCAGGUAGGGAUACCCGCUGAACUUAAGCAUAUCAAUAAGCGGAGGAAAAGAAACCAACAGGGAUUACCUCAGUAACGGCGAGUGAAGCGGUAACAGCUCAAAUUUGAAAUCUGCCGCAAGGCCGAGUUGUAAUUUGUAGAAGAUGCUUUGGGUAUGGCCCCGGUCUAAGUUCGUUGGAACACGACGUCAUAGAGGGUGAGAAUCCCGUAUGUGACUGGGUGCUUUUGCCUAUGUAAAGCUCUUUCGACGAGUCGAGUUGUUUGGGAAUGCAGCUCAAAAUGGGUGGUAUAUUUCAUCUAAAGCUAAAUAUUGGCCAGAGACCGAUAGCGCACAAGUAGAGUGAUCGAAAGAUGAAAAGCACUUUGGAAAGAGAGUUAAACAGUACGUGAAAUUGUUGAAAGGGAAGCGCUUGCAACCAGACUUGCACGCUGUUGAUCAUCCAGGCUUCUGUCUGGUGCACUCGGCAGCGUUCAGGCCAGCAUCGGUUCUGGUGGUGGGAUAAAGGCCUUGGGAAUGUAGCUUCUUUCGGGGAGUGUUAUAGCCCUCGGUGCAAUGCCGCCUAUCGGGACCGAGGACCGCGCUUCGGCUAGGAUGCUGGCGUAAUGGUUGUAAGCGACC
This 1139-nucleotide ribosomal RNA is filed under the name uncultured Lemonniera. Its description in RNAcentral is "eukaryotic LSU rRNA". The stretch from base 511 to 1139 matches the Rfam family "Eukaryotic large subunit ribosomal RNA", at positions 1 to 649 of the family's 3401-position model. The record is from RNAcentral. Lineage: Eukaryota; Fungi; Ascomycota.